RNAcentral lists this ribosomal RNA (414 nucleotides) under uncultured bacterium. RNAcentral's name for it is "bacterial SSU rRNA". It matches the Rfam family "Bacterial small subunit ribosomal RNA", at positions 355 to 775 of the family's 1533-position model. The record is from RNAcentral.
UCGAGAAUCUUUCACAAUGGGGGAAACCCUGAUGGAGCGACGCCGCGUGGAGGAUAAGGUCUUCGGAUUGUAAACUCCUGUCAUGCGAGAACAAAGCCCGCAAGGGCCUGAUAGUACCGCAAGAGGAAGAGACGGCUAACUCUGUGCCAGCAGCCGCGGUAAUACAGAGGUCUCAAGCGUUGUUCGGAAUCACUGGGCGUAAAGGGUGCGUAGGCGGCGGGGAAAGUCAGAUGUGAAAUCCGGAGGCUCAACCUCCGAAUGGCAUCCGAUACUCCCUCGCUAGAGAUUUGUAGAGGAGCUUGGAAUUCUCGGUGUAGCAGUGAAAUGCGUAGAUAUCGAGAAGAACGCUCGCAGCGAAAGCGAAGCUCUGGGCAAAUUCUGACGCUGAUGCACGAAGGCUAGGGGAGCAAACGG